This 74-nucleotide transfer RNA is filed under the name Ailuropoda melanoleuca (giant panda). It matches the Rfam family "tRNA". Rfam says of the family: Transfer RNA (tRNA) molecules are approximately 80 nucleotides in length. Their secondary structure includes four short double-helical elements and three loops (D, anti-codon, and T loops). Further hydrogen bonds mediate the characteristic L-shaped molecular structure. tRNAs have two regions of fundamental functional importance: the anti-codon, which is responsible for specific mRNA codon recognition, and the 3' end, to which the tRNAs corresponding amino acid is attached (by aminoacyl-tRNA synthetases). tRNAs cope with the degeneracy of the genetic code in two manners: having more than one tRNA (with a specific anti-codon) for a particular amino acid; and 'wobble' base-pairing, i.e. permitting non-standard base-pairing at the 3rd anti-codon position. Lineage: Eukaryota; Metazoa; Chordata; Mammalia; Carnivora; Ursidae. The record is from Rfam by way of RNAcentral.
GCCUGGCUGGCUCAGUCAGUAGAGCAUGUGGCUCUUAAUCUCAGGAGUCAUGAGUUCAAGCCCCAUGUUGGGUG